GACGAACGCUGGCGGCGUGCCUAAUACAUGCAAGUCGAGCGGACCCUUCGGGGUUAGCGGCGGACGGGUGAGUAACACGUGGGUAAUCUGCCCAACUGACUGGAAUAACGCCUGGAAACGGUGCUAAUGCCGGAUAGGCAACUGGUAGGCAUCUACCGGUUGGGAAAGGUGCAACUGCACCGCAGAUGGAGGAGCCCGCGGCGCAUUAGCUGGUUGGUGGGGUAACGGCCUACCAAGGCGACGAUGCGUAGCCGACCUGAGAGGGUGGACGGCCACACUGGGACUGAGACACGGCCCAGACUCCUACGGGAGGCAGCAGUAGGGAAUCUUCCGCAAUGGGCGCAAGCCUGACGGAGCAACGCCGCGUGAGCGAAGAAGGCCUUCGGGUUGUAAAGCUCAGUCACUCGGGAAGAGCGGACAGGGGAGUGGAAAGCCCUCGUCGAGACGGUACCGAGAGAGGAAGCCCCGGCUAACUACGUG
RNAcentral lists this ribosomal RNA (480 nucleotides) under uncultured bacterium. RNAcentral's name for it is "bacterial SSU rRNA". It matches the Rfam family "Bacterial small subunit ribosomal RNA", at positions 28 to 507 of the family's 1533-position model. The record is from RNAcentral.